This 1064-nucleotide long non-coding RNA is filed under the name Bos taurus (domestic cattle). RNAcentral describes it as "long non-coding RNA NONBTAT017002". The record is from RNAcentral. Lineage: Eukaryota; Metazoa; Chordata; Mammalia; Artiodactyla; Bovidae.
AGUAUUACAUGCUGGAAAAAAUACCAAGUAAUGCUUUAUUUCAACAUGACUUGUACUACUGGUCUUUCAUUUGCUCAGAUUAAAAGAGGACUCAUUUUAAAACUAAAACAUAUUAAGUCAUUCAUAUUUUCAAACAAGUAAUACUGUCCGUGUCCUUUGGAUAGAAACAAUCUAUCUAGGUAAAAGUUAUCAAAGAGCAAGUAAAAAUCCAGUAAAGCCUUUGCUCUGUAAUAUACCAUUGUUAAGAUUUUGUAGAUGUUCAAAUUAUUCUGCAGAUGCAUUGUCUCUAAAACAUUUUCUGCAAACACAUAGUUGUAAAAGUUAUGUAUUAAAAUCUUAAUAUUUUGUUUUAGAAAUUAACACAUACACAUAGGAGGCAAAACAAAAGAAGUGGCUGGCUUGGCACAAGCAACAAGACAUAUUUCUUGCCUUUCAUCUGGUUUAUCUUCAGCUAGGACUUUUAAAUGGGGUGGGGUGGCAGGUUCAUCAGACCAUGAAAAAGUGUAGCAAUAGACUAAGAGAGGCAGCGUCUCUCUCGUUUCCUUUGAGAAAACUUUAUUCAGGACCUAAAUCUUUUAAGCUGAUGUACUUUGCCACUAGAAUUCUUUCGCCUUGUAUUCAUUCUCUGCCAUGUGUAUGAUGAGGACCUCAGUGCUACUAAGGGAUAUUUUUGAUGUUAUUUUGUAUGCAGGAGCUUCAGGGUAUUCGUCAAUCCCACACAUAAAUCCCAGAGUAAACCUAUAGAUUAGUUUAGGAAGAAAUGAAUAGUCUCAGUAAAAUGUGCUGUUUACUCAUACUAAAGUGACUGCUUUUUUUGUUACUAGACUGUCAUAGAGAAGCACAAAAUGAAUGUUCCAGAAACUAUGAACGAAGUUCUUGAUAUGUCUGAUGAUGAAGGUAUGAAAACCUCCUUUGAGUUUAUAGUAACAAAGAGUGACUGUGUAUUUGUUUCCUGAAGGAAAUUCAUUGCAAAAAUAUUUUUAGAAGCAUUAAUAUUGUUUUAUUGUAGUAUCAACAGUAUGCAUUUUUCACACUUACAUUGUUCACUUAAAUCAUGCAGUUCG